This 527-nucleotide ribosomal RNA is filed under the name uncultured bacterium. RNAcentral describes it as "bacterial SSU rRNA". It matches the Rfam family "Bacterial small subunit ribosomal RNA", at positions 355 to 879 of the family's 1533-position model. The record is from RNAcentral.
UGGGGAAUCUUGCGCAAUGGCCUAACGGCUGACGCAGCGACGCCGCGUGUGGGAGGACGCCUUUCGGGGUGUAAACCACUGUUGCCCGGGACGAACUUCUGGUUGCGACCAGACUGACGGUACCGGGUGAGGAAGCACCGGCUAACUCCGUGCCAGCAGCCGCGGUAAUACGGAGGGUGCGAGCGUUGUCCGGAAUCAUUGGGCGUAAAGGGCGCGUAGGUGGCCCGGUGAGUCUUUGGGUGAAAGCGCGGGGCUCAACCCUGCGUCGGCCAGGGAUACUGCCGCGGCUGGAGCACUGUAGAGGCAGGCGGAAUUCCGGGUGUAGCGGUGGAAUGCGUAGAGAUCCGGAAGAACACCGGUGGCGAAGGCGGCCUGCUGGGCAGUGGCUGACACUGAGGCGCGACAGCGUGGGGAGCAAACAGGAUUAGAUACCCUGGUAGUCCACGCCGUAAACGAUGGGCACUAGGCGCUUGGGGGAGCGACCCCUCGAGGGCCGGCGCUAACGCAUUAAGUGCCCCGCCUGGGGA